RNAcentral lists this long non-coding RNA (580 nucleotides) under Vigna radiata. RNAcentral's name for it is "long non-coding RNA (VRAD_LNC013137)". The record is from RNAcentral. Lineage: Eukaryota; Viridiplantae; Streptophyta; Magnoliopsida; Fabales; Fabaceae.
UUAUUUUGUUUGGUUUCUUUACCUUCUUGCAUUUCCAUUUUCCUCACUUGGUUUAGAGAUAGUUUGGUCUUAAUGUAGAAUCGUUCGGUCAUCUGUGGGACCGUUCGGUCUUCAUGCUUUGUCCAUUUAUUUCAAUGUUUUCAAGUAUGUUUAGUUGCUUUUAAUUUUCAGUUUUAAUUUAAUUUAAUUUUCCUUGCGAAAAAAAAACCUUUCACACCCCCCCCCACUUCGUGUUAGACCUAAGACUCGAACCACAUUUGGUCCUUGAGAGAUGACCUAGGAGUCACUUCCUAGCUAUACUGCAUUUCUUAUAUGCAAUCAAAUUUGUAUGGGUCGCGACAACCCAACAAAUUUUGGCGUCGUUGCUGGGGACCAACGGUUCGGUUUUAGGUCUUUUGUUGUGUUAGAAUGUGUUGUGUUUUGUCUUGUGUUGUGAGUGUGUUGUUCUAUUUUGUGUGUUCGUCAUUGUGUGUUGCAUUCAGGUAGCUUAGGUUGCAUAUUUUCAAUGCAUUCUUCUUUUCCCCCAUCUUUCCCAUGUCUACCUGUUUUGGCUAUGUGGAUAUUGUUACUUCUGCCUGGG